GAUGAACGCUGGCGGCGUGCCUAAUACAUGCAAGUCGAGCGAACGGACGAGGAGCUUGCUUCUCUGAUGUUAGCGGCGGACGGGUGAGUAACACGUGGAUAACCUACCUAUAAGACUGGGAUAACUUCGGGAAACCGGAGCUAAUACCGGAUAAUAUUUUGAACCGCAUGGUUCAAAAGUGAAAGACGGUCUUGCUGUCACUUAUAGAUGGAUCCGCGCUGCAUUAGCUAGUUGGUAAGGUAACGGCUUACCAAGGCAACGAUGCAUAGCCGACCUGAGAGGGUGAUCGGCCACACUGGAACUGAGACACGGUCCAGACUCCUACGGGAGGCAGCAGUAGGGAAUCUUCCGCAAUGGGCGAAAGCCUGACGGAGCAACGCCGCGUGAGUGAUGAAGGUCUUCGGAUCGUAAAACUCUGUUAUUAGGGAAGAACAUAUGUGUAAGUAACUGUGCACAUCUUGUCGGUACCUAAUCAGAAAGCCACGGCUAACUACGUG
Molecule: ribosomal RNA, 497 nt
Filed under: uncultured bacterium
Lineage: Bacteria
Description: partial 16S ribosomal RNA
Rfam family: Bacterial small subunit ribosomal RNA
Source: RNAcentral